CUAAGCCAUGCGAAAAAUUGUAGUAAUACAAGGCAGACGGCUCAGUAACGCGUAGUCAACCUACCCUGUGGACGGGGAUAACCUCGGGAAACUGAGAAUAAUACCCGAUAGAACAUUAUGCCUGGAAUGGUUUAUGUUUCAAAUAAUUUAUUGCCGUAGGAUGGGACUGCGUCCUAUCAGUUUGUUGGUGAGGUAAUGGCCCACCAAGACUAUUACAGGUACGGGCUCUGAGAGGAGUAGCCCGGAGAUGGGUACUGAGACACGGACCCAGGCCCUAUGGGGCGCAGCAGGCGAGAAAACUUUGCAAUGUGCGAAAGCACGACAAGGUUAAUCCGAGUGGUUUCUGCUAAAGGAACCUUUUGUCAGUCCUAGAAACACUGAUGAAUAAGGGGUGGGCAAGUUCUGGUGUCAGCCGCCGCGGUAAAACCAGCACCUCAAGUGGUCAGGAUGAUUAUUGGGCCUAAAGCAUCCGUAGCCUGCUUUGUAAGUUUUCGGUUAAAUCCAUACGCUCAACGUAUGGGCUGCCGGGAAUACUGCAAAGCUAGGGAGUGGGAGAGGUAGACGGUACUCGGUAGGAAGGGGUAAAAUCCUUUGAUCUAUUGAUGACCACCUGUGGCGAAGGCGGUCUACCAGAACACGUCCGACGGUGAGGGAUGAAAGCUGGGGGAGCAAACCGGAUUAGAUACCCGGGUAGUCCCAGCUGUAAACUAUGCAAACUCAGCGAUGCAUUGGCUUGAUGCCAAUGCAGUGCUGCAGGGAAGCCGUUAAGUUUGCCGCCUGGGAAGUACGUACGCAAGUAUGAAACUUAAAGGAAUUGGCGGGGGAGCACCACAAGGGGU
RNAcentral lists this ribosomal RNA (839 nucleotides) under uncultured archaeon. RNAcentral's name for it is "bacterial SSU rRNA". It matches the Rfam family "Archaeal small subunit ribosomal RNA", at positions 44 to 889 of the family's 1478-position model. The record is from RNAcentral.